This 1372-nucleotide ribosomal RNA is filed under the name uncultured bacterium. RNAcentral describes it as "bacterial SSU rRNA". It matches the Rfam family "Bacterial small subunit ribosomal RNA", at positions 28 to 1381 of the family's 1533-position model. The record is from RNAcentral.
GAUGAACGCUGGCGGCGUGCCUAAUACAUGCAAGUCGAGCGAACGGACGAGAAGCUUGCUUCUCUGAUGUUAGCGGCGGACGGGUGAGUAACACGUGGAUAACCUACCUAUAAGACUGGGAUAACUUCGGGAAACCGGAGCUAAUACCGGAUAAUAUUUUGAACCGCAUGGUUCAAAAGUGAAAGACGGUCUUGCUGUCACUUAUAGAUGGAUCCGCGCUGCAUUAGCUAGUUGGUAAGGUAACGGCUUACCAAGGCAACGAUGCAUAGCCGACCUGAGAGGGUGAUCGGCCACACUGGAACUGAGACACGGUCCAGACUCCUACGGGAGGCAGCAGUAGGGAAUCUUCCGCAAUGGGCGAAAGCCUGGCGGAGCAACGCCGCGUGAGUGAUGAAGGUCUUCGGAUUGUAAAACUCUGUUAUUAGGGAAGAACAUAUGUGUAAGUAACUGUGCACAUCUUGACGGUACCUAAUCAGAAAGCCACGGCUAACUACGUGCCAGCAGCCGCGGUAAUACGUAGGUGGCAAGCGUUAUCCGGAAUUAUUGGGCGUAAAGCGCGCGUAGGCGGUUUUUUAAGUCUGAUGUGAAAGCCCACGGCUCAACCGUGGAGGGUCAUUGGAAACUGGAAAACUUGAGUGCAGAAGAGGAAAGUGGAAUUCCAUGUGUAGCGGUGAAAUGCGCAGAGAUAUGGAGGAACACCAGUGGCGAAGGCGACUUUCUGGUCUGUAACUGACGCUGAUGUGCGAAAGCGUGGGGAUCAAACAGGAUUAGAUACCCUGGUAGUCCACGCCGUAAACGAUGAGUGCUAAGUGUUAGGGGGUUUCCGCCCCUUAGUGCUGCAGCUAACGCAUUAAGCACUCCGCCUGGGGAGUACGACCGCAAGGUUGAAACUCAAAGGAAUUGACGGGGACCCGCACAAGCGGUGGAGCAUGUGGUUUAAUUCGAAGCAACGCGAAGAACCUUACCAAAUCUUGACAUCCUUUGACAACUCUAGAGAUAGAGCUUUCCCCUUCGGGGGACAAAGUGACAGGUGGUGCAUGGUUGUCGUCAGCUCGUGUCGUGAGAUGUUGGGUUAAGUCCCGCAACGAGCGCAACCCUUAAGCUUAGUUGCCAUCAUUAAGUUGGGCACUCUAAGUUGACUGCCGGUGACAAACCGGAGGAAGGUGGGGAUGACGUCAAAUCAUCAUGCCCCUUAUGAUUUGGGCUACACACGUGCUACAAUGGACAAUACAAAGGGCAGCGAAACCGUGAGGUCAAGCAAAUCCCAUAAAGUUGUUCUCAGUUCGGAUUGUAGUCUGCAACUCGACUACAUGAAGCUGGAAUCGCUAGUAAUCGUAGAUCAGCAUGCUACGGUGAAUACGUUCCCGGGUCU